This 480-nucleotide ribosomal RNA is filed under the name Triticum aestivum (bread wheat). RNAcentral describes it as "partial small subunit ribosomal RNA". Lineage: Eukaryota; Viridiplantae; Streptophyta; Magnoliopsida; Poales; Poaceae. The record is from RNAcentral.
UACCUUGACCUGUCCGGCAACCUCAUCGGCUGCGAUGUGGCCGCCAGGGCGCUCUCCGGCUGCCGCAGUCUUAGAGCGCUCAACCUCUCCAGCAACCAUCUCGCCGGCGCGUUUCUGCCGAACAUCGCUGGCCCUGUGUGUAGUCCUCGCCUCUCCGUCCGCGGAGACCGGAGGCCAUGGUGGCGAGCCGCCUCGGCAUGGUGUCGCAGCACGAGCGGCGGAGAGCGCGGCCUCGCUGUUGGUUCCUUAGCUCGACAUGACGGUUGCAGCAUGUUUCUCGCGCCCGCCCAGACUGCAGGUGAUCCACCUACAGCCUGCGUCGUCACCAUGGGGAACUAUCGCCUCAGUGGUGUCCAAGAUCGGCAAGGUAAAGACCAAUCGUUAAUCCAUCUUGGAAGAAUGAGGGGUAGAAUCUUGGGAGUAAAUCUGACUGGGCAUUUAAUUGGACAGUACGUCAAUCCUGGGGACACGAUCGACUAG